UACGUAGGGGGCAAGCGUUGUCCGGAUUUAUUGGGCGUAAAGAGCGUGUAGGCGGCCUGAAAGGUCAGCUGUGAAAACUCGAGGCUCAACCUCGAGACGUCGGUUGAAACCAUCUGGCUAGAGUCCGGAAGAGGAGUGUGGAAUUCCCGGUGUAGCGGUGAAAUUCGUAGAUAUCAGGAGGAACACCAGUGGCGGAAGGCGGCUUUCUGGACGA
RNAcentral lists this ribosomal RNA (214 nucleotides) under uncultured bacterium. Its description in RNAcentral is "partial 16S ribosomal RNA". It matches the Rfam family "Bacterial small subunit ribosomal RNA", at positions 524 to 736 of the family's 1533-position model. The record is from RNAcentral.